UACGGCUCGUGUCGUGAGAUGUUGGGUUAAGUCCCGUAACGAGCGCAACCCUUGUCCUUAGUUACCAGCACGUUAUGGUGGGCACUCUAAGGAGACUGCCGGUGACAAACCGGAGGAAGGUGGGGAUGACGUCAAGUCAUCAUGGCCCUUACGGCCUGGGCUACACACGUGCUACAAUGGUCGGUACAAAGGGUUGCCAAGCCGCGAGGUGGAGCUAAUCCCAUAAAACCGAUCGUAGUCCGGAUCGCAGUCUGCAACUCGACUGCGUGAAGUCGGAAUCGCUAGUAAUCGUGAAUCAGAAUGUCACGGUAAAUACGUUCCCGGGCCUU
Molecule: ribosomal RNA, 329 nt
Filed under: uncultured Pseudomonas sp.
Lineage: Bacteria; Pseudomonadati; Pseudomonadota; Gammaproteobacteria; Pseudomonadales; Pseudomonadaceae
Description: bacterial SSU rRNA
Rfam family: Bacterial small subunit ribosomal RNA
Source: RNAcentral